UGAAUUGACGGGACCCGCACAAGCGGUGGAUGAUGUGGAUUAAUUCGAUGCAGCGCGAAAAACCUUACCUACCCUCGACAUGUCCGGAAUCCCGAAGAGAUUUGGGAGUGCUCGAAAGAGAACCUGCACACAGGUGCUGCAUGGCUGUCGUCAGCUCGUGUCGUGAGAUGUUGGGUUAAGUCCCGCAACGAGCGCAACCCUUGCCAUUAGUUGCUACGAAAGGGCACUCUAAUGGGACUGCCGGUGACAAACCGGAGGAAGGUGGGGAUGACGUCAAGUCCUCAUGGCCCUUAUAGGUGGGGCUACACACGUCAUACAAUGGCCGGUACAGAGGGUAGCCAACCCGCGAGGGGGAGCCAAUCCCACAAAGCCGGUCGUAGUCCGGAUCGCAGUCUGCAACUCGACUGCGUGAAGUCGGAAUCGCUAGUAAUCGCGGAUCAGCAUGUCGCGGUGAAUACGUUCCCGGGUCUU
This 471-nucleotide ribosomal RNA is filed under the name uncultured Allobrachymonas sp. RNAcentral describes it as "bacterial SSU rRNA". It matches the Rfam family "Bacterial small subunit ribosomal RNA", at positions 907 to 1382 of the family's 1533-position model. Lineage: Bacteria; Pseudomonadati; Pseudomonadota; Betaproteobacteria; Burkholderiales; Comamonadaceae. The record is from RNAcentral.